Molecule: non-coding RNA, 10619 nt
Organism: Xyrichtys novacula (pearly razorfish)
Lineage: Eukaryota; Metazoa; Chordata; Actinopteri; Labriformes; Labridae
Source: the annotation of a GenBank genome assembly
UCCUUCUCCAAUAAGGGUUUUUUUUUUUCAUUUUCAGGUUAGCUUCCUUGGUCACCCCAAUUUGUUCAUCUGCUGCCAUUUCCAGUACGUAGGGACAACUAUUAAAACCUUUAUUCAUUCCAAAUAUGAAAACAGUUAACACUCAUUUAAAUGACUCAUUCCAGUUCAGAAUUUCAGCGUGUAUGCACAACAGUGUGUGAAUUGGUUUGCCAGACGCAAACGUGCAAAAUUUCACAGUCAUCUUGACCUCAUGCCUGCCCUUUUCACCUUUUCACAUUAUUUGUCUUCUCUCUAAAUUUCUACUUGUCGUUGGUUUUGAAUUGGGCACGGCUCUGCUCCGAUACUUUAUCUGAAAUUUAUGUUCAGGGUCAGCUCUGAUCCCUUUUCCUUUUUUUUAUAGCAUAAGCCAUCAGUCACCUUUUUGACAGUUCGCACUUGGUGUUACAAUUUUCUGGCAGCCAAAAAUUGAUACCCCUAGAGUUCAUUGUCAGCAGCACCAGGUGCGAAAGUUCAGUCUCUCAGCCGGUGCUCUGAUGUCCUUUUUUACGUGACUUGGGUUCAGCGUCUGCCAGAUAAAGAAGCACAGUAGUACAUUGGCGUGAUAAUAGAAAUAGGAAGCCUUCAUCGUCAUUAUAUAGAGUACUUUAAUGCUUUGGAGACAUUUUUAGUGUUGCAUUCAUGGGAAAAACUAAGCUAAUGCUUUAUGUGCUAAUUAUGCUAUGCUAACUAUAACAAGAAAACAGAAGGUUUUGGUAACUUACUGAAACUGUAUCUUCUGUUGAUUUGUAGGAUCUUUGCUUUCUCCUCUGAUCCUGAAUCAGACGGCGGACACGCGCUGCAAAGGCCUGCACUACACUGAUGCACCACCGGUAAGUUCAAAACCACAUAGAUUUAAGUCAAAUCUUGUUUCACCAACUCAAACGUACAAAAUGUUCUGAACUGUUGUUUAAAACACAUAUUCUUAUUAUUAUUGUGAUUAUUUGACUUAUAUUUUUGGAUCGUAAAAAACACUGCCAUCUGCAAAUCCAAAAUGCAUUUAUGAAAAAACAAAAGCAACAUCUAAUGCACCUUAAAACUGCAAAGCACAGAGUUUUACUUUAAAGCUAUAGUGCGUAUCUUCUCAAUAUGAUGUAUGGCCAGGUGUAACCCACGGUAACACUUACCAGACACAGCAUACUGUUCGUCACGGUACACGGAGUAAUACUCGCGACUCACCGCAUACUGCUCAUCAUGGUACACGGAUUGUAACUGUCCACACAACACGUAGGCAACUAAAGUUACUCGACACAGCACACAGUAAAUUACACACAGCAACACGGGCUACACGCCUUGUAACUUAUUGCUCGUUAAGCUAACAUAACACAAUGUGGCGAACACCACGCUGCUAACAACACGUUACAUUCACAGCAGCAUUUUCAAGGCAACAUCGGUGUCGGACCUCAGUCCAAUCUCCUCCUUCAGGGCUCUCCACCGAGGAAAAGCGACGCCGAUACAAAUCUGCGUUUGUCUUCUCCGGUUGUCAAUCCCUUUCUCUGCCAACACACCUUCUGCCAAACGGGAAGGCUUUUUUUAUUUAGUAGGAUCCCCUUCUGAACCUCUCGGUCGCAUCUUCGGGUUGUCUGCCGUGUUGCUUCUAGCAGCACUCUCCUUCCCCCUCUCUUCUUGUUGUCGGGUAAAGCCGAGUAGAACGCGGACUUCCCUGUGCGCCAGUGCAGGAAUGUUGCCAAAGACACAAAAAGAACAAAUACUGAAAAAUACUGCAAGCCGAACAGCUUAGUCAGCGUUGUAUCAUCUCCUCUUGUUGUGGCUUGGGUGAAGCGGAUAUUUACCGACACGUAGAAGUUACGCACUAUAGCUUUAACUGUUUCCUUUGUUUUCAUACGAGUCUGUUGUGUAAAUAGAAAAAUAUUCACACGUGAAUCUGAAAAACCAAAAUCAUACUUUUAAUGUUCCUUUUUUGCUGUUUUGUAAGAUUUUCCUGAAGGGUGAAUAUUCCCCACUUUCUGGUGGGGUCUUUUAUCAUCCUGUUGGGAUUUUACAUAUCACUGACCAAUUGGGCAAUAUUCCUUUCUUAAAGUAUUUCACACAGUUUCAAUGCAGGAUUUUUGUUUUCUUUACAGUUUGAGUCGUGAUUAAUGACAGCGGUGAUGGACAAUUUUAAUGCAAAACUCUGUGUUUUGUUAGAGUGCAGUAUUUAAAUAACAUGAUAAUAAUAGAAGUCACAUGUUGGCAAUAUUUUCAAAUAUUUUAAAAGCGUGCAGAGCCAAACACAUUCUUUAAAGAGACAGGGAAAAACACUCAACAGUUUUUUUCUAAGUGCAUGAAGGUGCAUCUCCUCCCACUUUUCUUCAGUUUCUCCCUUCAAUAAAUGUGGGAGACAGACACGCUCAACUGCUGACACACAGACGGCUUUACUGUCAGACGACAGGCAGCUGCUCCUCCAGUCCAAAGAGCCAGUUUGAUAAAUAAUAUGCAUGGCUCCGGGUGAACAAUGCGUGGUCCUCAAUCUUUAUGUCUCUCCGACACGCAUGCGGCAGCCACAUACUCCAAGACUCGUUAAAACUCAACAUACACGCAACACAAUUACUAGGACUCUCUCAAACCCUUCCUCUCUCUCCCUUCAAUGAUUAAAAAACAAUAUCCAGCUUAUAACUGCAAGUUAGUCAGACACCCACACUCAUUUGCAGUGAAAGGCAAAUGACCCUGGUGAUGAGUCAUUGCAUUCACUCAGAGAUUUGCUUUAUUCAAACACUGAAAUCUCUUAAGGCUGAGUGAAGCAGUGGUUCUCGCCAUUGUGCCUCUGAGAGAGCUCAGGUGCGCCUUGAUGUUUUCUCAAAUGUAAGAAAAAAAGAAAAAAGUCAAGCAAAAAUAGCACAUAACGUCAUUAAAAUCCACUAAAAUCAGGCUACUUCCCAGCCUCUCACACAUACAUUGCAAUUAUGAAGGACUUCCUUGUCCUGUCAUCUGGGGCUUUACACAAUAUUUGCAGCCAAUCAAUAACCGGGCUUUCCUCUGUAAUGAGUUUUGUAGGUAAAUAUAUCAUUACAAUAAAGAUUUUAGACUGGCAGCGGGGAAAAGGCUGUUUCUGACAGGAAAGGCACGUCACUGAAUAAAUCUGUGAGUAAAAAAGCAGAAUUAGAAUCUUGACAUGUUUUGUUUUUGGACGUUUUAUGGGCCAUUCAAAUAAUAUUUUACUUCUGUUUUAUUAAGAAUCUUCUAUUUAACCAAAAGAAAUUUACUGAUUGGGCAUCAUCCAAAAGACUAAAAUAGCAAUAUCAGAGUUAAACAUGAUGGACAUAGACCAAGUAAAGCAAAUUUAAGAGUUUGUUUUUGUUGGAGGUAGGUACCAUCAUUUUCAAUGCUUAUUUUGACUCUUUAGACUGUAUAAAACAUAAAGCUAAUCUCCAAGGCCAAUGCUCACCCAACCUAACUUAAACUGGAAAACAAACAGAGGUAGAACUCAGGCAGGCCUCCUGGUAAUAAGCAACAUCACUGCCACCAGUUGGUCAACUCGGCCUCGCCCCUAUUACGUUAAUCUGUGCAAAAUUUAGUCUUAUGCUGCGUUCGAAUUACCUCGGAAGUCAAAUGUCCGAGUUGGGAAUGACGUCACACUCGAGUUAGCAGCGUUUCACUUAGCAAGUCGGGAAAAAAGCAAAAUCUGAGGUGGAAACAAGAUGUUGCAGAAGGACAGCAUAUUUGUCCAGAAGUUGCUUAUACUCGGACAAGGCAAGCGCUAAAAUAACUUUCAUAGAUGUAGCCGUCUUGUUUCCGCCUCUGAUUUUGCUUUUUUCCGACUUGGUAACUGAAACACCGGUAACUCAGGUGUGACGUCAUUCCCAGCUCGGACAUUUGACUUCAGAGGAAACCGAACGCAGCAUAAGUAUCCUCAACAUGGAUGAAUUACAAACCAUUUCAAUGCCUAUACAUUGUGUUUGUGAAAUGAGCCAUAUAAACCAAAUAUUUUGUGUUGUGCUUUUGUACCAGACCUGGUAAUUUUGCUGUAAAACAUUUAAUUAACAUUUUUUUAUGUUUUUACUUACUUAAGUUUUUAAAAUGAUUGGAAGUUUGGUUGGUUUCAGGCAUUUCUAAUAUGCGACUGCCAUCAUUGGACUUCCCCACGCCUCUUGAGAAAGCAGUGGGUGAUAUCAUAUGAGGCACCUUCUGAAGUCUGAGGUGACAGUUGUAGGUGGCAUAAUGAUAGGUUUACACAUUGCCUAUUUGGGCUGCUGAAUAUUGAAAAAUAAACAAAUAUUGUGCUCUAUUUUUCCUGUCUGCAAUAUCCUGCGAAAUGAAAUGGUACAGGAAAUACAGCAGAUAAAUAAAGAGUAUUUUCAGGGCUCAUAGACAGCUUUAAAAAUUGAAAAAUAAAGUUUCACUUUUGACUUUGCUAUUCAUUAUUUAUUUACUAUUUGGAUCUGUAAGUCUAUACUCUGAGCAGCCCUCUGUCAGCAGCUCUAAGACCUGCACAGAGAAGCAGAAAGACAACAGAUGGAGCGUUACUUCACUACUAAUAAAAGCCACAGACUUGUUUACAUGUAAUCAAUCAUUUCUGUCAUUGUUAAAAAUUAUUAUCUUAAUUAGCAUUCGUGUUUUAUUUGCAUCACAAGCCCAAUGAUAACUUCUAAUCAAACGUAAACCCACUGUCCUCUUCUGCAUCCCCUUUCACAUCACUGUAAUGUCCAUGCACUGCAGGUGUGAACACUAAGAGUAAACACUCUGUAGUCUUGUUUGUUGUGAAGUCCAUACUUGUAAACCAAACAUGAAUGAGCACCAAGACAAGAGGGACCCCAUACCAUCUUACAAUCUGUCGAUUUCCAGAUAUCUCUGACAGCAGCAGCAGCAGCAGCAGCACCCCGACUUUCAUGCAUCUUUGCAGUCAAAGGUCAUGUGGAACAUAGAUACAGACACAGCUUUCACAGCAGUCAGUGUUUUCUAUGUGUUUAAGUGAGGGGCCGCGUUACAGUAAGUUUAGGGAAAACAGUUUUCCUGGACUGAUCUACAACAGUGAAGAAAUCGUGACAACAUGAGGCAUUCUAGGUCCAGCAUCGGACAUUGCACGUCUAUGCUCACUGUGAUGCUCAUUGUGAUGUUCAAAUGAUAUAUUAUUCAGCCUUAAUGCCUGUGCACAAAAGUUAAGACCAACCUCCUGGCUUGAUUGAGAAAAGUGUUAAAAAUGGCAGUUCCUUGAGCGUCCACUUGAGGCUUGCCCCAGAAAUACCAAAAACCACAUACACCUAGGACCUUCUUUACAAUGAAGUGUAUUUACAGUCUAACUAUUAAAAAAAAGGGGGGAAAUGUUGUAUCAUCCUUAGUUUACCAUAAACAACCUUAGACAUUGCAUUAGGGUUAUUUGCAUUGCCGUCUUCGUAUGAACAGCCAAAGCUGACUGCCUCUUUCAUGGACUCUGACCAUAAACAGAUGCCAGAACCCUUACCCCCAAUUUUCACCGCAUCCGGAACAGCUCUGAUCCGGAAAGGCAGCCAUUUUCACUGUCCGCCAACUCCUAUCGGAUCCGAUUAUGAGGCGAAUAGGAAUCCGUGGGAUUACGGACAGCAGGAAUCACAAGAACUCACAAGAACCUGCGGAUUCACGUGCAAUCGUGCAAUAACAAGUUGUCUCUUGGAGGAAAUCCAGCAUCUCCUCGUCCAUGGUGUCAUCGAGAUGAAAUGCUGUCUCCAAACCUUUCACUUGUUCGUCCCCGCCCGUUUGCAUGGUGUGAAAUACGAUCCGCCUGAAACACAGAGUGUUUUAUUUUGAAAAGAAGCUGGAUGUUUUAUUUUGUGUCUGUGCCCGACUUCCUUUCCAGGACAGGUUAAUCUGUGCUGAAUUUAUCCGGCAUGCUCCGGCGUCCAUAAAAAAUAGAACUCUUGCGAUCAGCUGUGGAGUCCUGCAAUCCGCAGCGGAACAGAAAGAAGGCGGUUGAAAUUGACACAUUAACUUGAGUGGUUACGAUCAGCUACAAUCGGCUACGAUCAGCGGAUACAACCUUUUCGUAGCCGUUCCGGAUGCGGUGGAAAUUGGGGGUUAUGGUGCAGAAAUCCAGUCCAACAGCUUCAGAUUGUACUUUUUCAUGCAAAAUUAUAAAUAAUAAUCAACAAAAGUUAACAGUAUUCAUCAAUGAUUAAUUACUUUAAAGACCAUCUACUGCAAUGUUUGAUCAAUUUGAUUUAGUCUCUUUGUUGACAGACCGAUAGACAAAGGUUAAAGGUGAAGGUGGGUGAGACAGGCAGUGUUGUAGUCAAGUCAGCAAACCUUGAGUUGAGUCUGGAGUCCCCAGGGUUCAAGCCCAAGUCCAAGGCAUCAGAGAAUAAUCCAACAAUCCAAUCCUCAUGACCCAAGUCUAAAUCAAAGUGGAGUCCUUGUGGUUGAGUUCCUAGAAGAGCUUCAGUUCACAAAUUAAGAACGUGUAUGUCUUAGAAAGCUAGACGCAUGAUUUAUGGCACCUUUUUAGGCGUUGUUACAGAAACUGACUCCUGAACUGGAUGGCAUGUGAACACAUAUGCAAGUACCAACCCUCGCUCAAAACUAAGUUGUUAGAGCUUUCUUCAGAAGGAGUAAUAAAAAAUUAUUCACACAGAAAGAAAAAAAAAAGCUAAAUAAAUGAUUGCAAGUCCUCCUCUUGAAUUUCUGAAUCCGAAUGCCCUAGUCCAAGUCACGGACAUCAGAGCUGGUGUUCAAGGCCAGUCACGAGUCCUGAAAAUCAGAACUAAACUCUGAUUCCUGGGCUCGCGUACACUACAAUGCUGGAAGAGAUUGUAUAACUGUGAGUCGUGUCAGAGUGUGUAUGCGGGCGUUAAAACUUCUCUUCUUCUUCUUGUUUUUUUUUUCCUUGGCAUGGAAAACUUCACAAGUGUCAGAGUGACAUAUUUCACAAGAAUAUAAGAGAUAUGAGUGACAGCUGUAAAAAGGCAAAGAAACCCAAAUAGACAAAGAUUUCCUGAGGCAACAGUGGAACGUGUCCAGUCUGUCUGACCACAGUUUGUACAAGGCUCUUUGCUGGAAAAAAAAAAAAAGAGAAACCUGAAUGAACUUGAGACUCAUUUUUGGGCAUUAGGCCUGAGGGCUGCAAGUGUUAUCUGGCUGCAUCAAGUUUACUUUGUUAAAGAAAAGAAAGAAUAGUGGAGUGUAUGGGGGAGGGAGUGUAAUGGGAGUCUUUAGCAGGGAGUAAAAGGGACUGAAAGGAUUUUGAUCCAGUGAUAUUAUAUAUCUGUCCUGGUCAGGGCAGACAAAAGCACACAGCAAACCACCAGAGAGCAAAGCAUGUCAUCUGAAUAGUAUGUCUUCUUUGCUGUGUUGUACAUCCAAAGGCUUUGUGUGCUUGAAUUUGGCUGGUAGACGGCACAAAGGAGGCAGUUUGUUCGCCCCUGACAAGUGUGCUUUUAUUUGCGGCGGCACUUUGAUGUAUAGAGAAACUUUGGCUGGGAUAUCCCUCGCAGACAAAUGCAUGAGAAAUCCCACUCCUUUGUAUUAUCCUUAACAAUUCCCUCACCAUUCACUGCAAAGCUUUUAUCCCCUGUAAGACUUUUAUUUUAUACUUUGUGCCUACUAUCUGUCUGUCAACUGUAAUGGAGAGCUGUGUUUGACUUUAUUUUGCAGAGUGGGGUUUGAUGGGGAAUUAGGAGCAUGUGGAAAAAACAAUCUAAGAAGGUAAUGUUUUUUUUAUAAUCAGGCAGAGUUUGUCCAGUUGUGGUCACAUUUUUUGAUUUCCAUUUUGCUGAGCAGUUUAAAGAAAACUGUUUUAAAUUUGGGACAUGUUGUUCUUUAAGUUAAGAUCUCAACCACUCUCAUAUCUGUACAGUGAAUAUCAAGCUACAGCUGUCUUGCUUUGUCAAGCUUUGCUCAAGGCCGUAAAAAGAGGAAACCUUAAAAGCAACAAAUCCACCGAGCAGCACUGCUCAGGUAAACAAAAUCCAACGUUACGAAAAAUGUGAAAACAAUAAAUUGGGUAACCUUGGUUGUCAGCAGAACCUCAUUCAGCUUUGCUUUUACUGCUGAAUAAUGGUUCUGUUAAGCCAGGUGCCCUAGUGUAUUACAAAGCUCCUGUGCAUCAAGAGAUAAAGCUUGAGGGAGUCUGGCACUGGUAACAGAAGUUACUCCACCAAAUGAGAAAUUUACUGUAAUUAUCACUUUGGUUAUUACUUCAGGUAGCAGUUUCUGAAUGUUUGCAACUUUUAUUUUGUGAUUUUGGGUCCCAUUGAGAGUAAAAUCAGCGAUGAACUAGGAGGUUGUAGAGUGUAUUUACCACGAUCGUCCAAAUCUGUCAAUUUCUGACUCUUAAAAACAAGAUGAAUUUGUCGUCCCAGAAGAUUUUAAACUGAUGCUGGAUCAGUCUCAACCAGGGAUGUUUCCUUUUUUCCCCCAAAUCAUCAACUUGGGUUUCUUGACUGUAUGAUUGAUCAUAAAUCUGUCAGCUUUGAAAAGCGAAGAAGAUUUCGCUCAGACACAGCCAGGUUUCCUUCCUCAGUCUUAGCCUCACUGAAGUAUUUCUGUUUAUUUUAAACUUUCAGAGUUCAGUGUUAUUUCCUUACAGGUAAAUUAUACAGUCUCAGGUCUUUACUUCCUCUUAGGACCCUUAUACUUUCUCUUAUAUUAGACUGCUUCAAUUUUUUUUCAUAUGAUCACAGUGAAAGAGCUAAAACACUCGAUCCGCCCUGUCCUGGACCCCCUCUAGUACUUCAGCAGAUAAAGAUUAUGAUCAUCACAUUGGCAUUUUUAGUAGUGGGGUGAGGAAAUUGAGUUUUUACAUUAAACAUUUUAAAAAAUAAAACUGUUUUGUUUUCAAACCAACGUAUUAUUGUUAAAUGCUGGUAUGCUGAACUUGUUGAGCUUGUAAAGCGAAACUAUCCUGGAAAUCUGAAAAAGCCUGUGUUUUCUUAGUCAAAUUACAAUAAAGGGCUCGAUGUCCAUUUCAGAAAUCCAAUACAAGGUCAACAGCCUGUGCUGCCUCAGUUCACUGGUGUAGGACUGAGUCAUCCUAAUGAAUAUCUGAACUCACCAUCUACCACCGACCUCCUGAGUGUGCACGUAGCAUUGCUGUGGAACAAAUUCCUUACAUACAUAUAACCACACUGGGUAUUUAGAUGAAAUGGUAAUUGUUUCUGUUUUACUCAAUUUUCAGUAUAUCUUCCUAUGUGGAUAUUUUACAAUGUUGAGGCAUGCAAAUAGGGCCCCCUCUCAAUGGCUAAAGCCACCAAAUAAAGCUGAACCAUCAAGUCCAAAUGGGUACAGUUUUAGAUGAUAUUAUUUUUCCUUUUCUUGCAGGGUGCAGCUGAGAACUGGAAGAAGAGACAGUUGUGAAAUGUGAACAUCUCUGUGGACGUGUGCGAUAUAUAUGUGUUGCAAUGAAGGUCAGUGUCUGGUGCUUCUCCUGCGAAAUAUUUGGCUGGUCAUAAAGGGGCUACCAUUUGCAGUGUUGUCUUGAAUGCAAAAUUUCAGGUCACCACCACUGGGAACCAAUAAUGCCUUUGGCUAAGCAACAAGAUGCAAAUACAUCUAUUCAAAUUCGCACCACUCCAUACACUUUGGAGCUUACACAAACACUCACACACAAUCUCAUCUCAGUGCAGCAGAAUUAAAUUGCAUUGCGCUCAUUUCAGUCAUGAAUAAGUCACAAUCCUGGGGUGGCGUUUGACCCGAGACAAGUUUAGAUCUAAUAUUUCUCUGUUCACAUCCCUUGUUUCCUGAGAAAUUCAGCUUUUUAGAAAAAUUCUAGUGCAUGUAAAUCCAAUUUUUACUUCUUUCUUCCUUGUUGUUUACUGUGAGUUACGGUAAUCAUAAACCUAAAGGUGCACAGCCUUUUUUUCCUUCACUCCUGGAACAAACGCAGGUUAAUCAGAGUUAGAGGAUCGGUGCUCUUAUAUGUCACAAUCUGAGCUCCAGACUGCUCCCCUCAGGCACUACAGACAGAGUUUACAUAGUCACCAGGUGUUAAACUGCUAAAUGAUGGUCGGGGGAAAGACAGAUGAUUCCAUAUGUAGCAAAGCCAGACAGAAACCCUCAAUAUCCCACCAGCUCAUUCAGUCCAAUUUCAGCCUGCCAAGCCACCGGGGGCAACCCAAAUAUCAUCCAUCCUGACACUGUCCAUCACUCUAUACAUAGAACAGCGGAAUUAGCACAAACGUUGCACUCGCCAUCAGUGUGAAGUAUGGUGGCAGUAGGGGCGAUUAUUUACGGGGCUGCAUUACUUUCUGAAGACCUGAGCUCUGAGUCACCGACCGAGCCUGAUAAUUAAUUCCACGCUCUACAGAAAUAUUAUGAAGCUCCACAACAGAAAGACAGAUGUACAGUGUGAAACACAUUGUCAACAGGGUGACUGGAUUUAGAUUUUCUGACUGCUUCAUUUUGAAGAAAGAGGAAUUAUACAGUUUUAUGUCAACAAUUGAAGACCUGUACGCGAGCGUUUGAUUUUUCAGCAAAGUAGGAAUCGUUCAAGCUUUCAGUGAGAAGACAAAUGGUGAGGGAGUUUGAUUCAGUUUGUAAUCAGAGUAUUUGUUGUUUUCUGUCUGCUCUUUAUUUGUCCCACAGCUCGACUUCCUGUAGAUACAAAGAGGUAGAGACGAACAGGGAUCUGACAGUAAGAGAUAACCUGCCAUCAGCCGGCCUUCUAUUUUUAACUGCAG